RNAcentral lists this ribosomal RNA (433 nucleotides) under uncultured bacterium. RNAcentral's name for it is "partial 16S ribosomal RNA". It matches the Rfam family "Bacterial small subunit ribosomal RNA", at positions 29 to 507 of the family's 1533-position model. The record is from RNAcentral.
AGCGAACGCUGGCGGCAGGCUUAACACAUGCAAGUCGAGCGGGCACUUCGGUGUCAGCGGCAGACGGGUGAGUAACACGUGGGAACGUACCCUUUGGUUCGGAAUAACGCUGGGAAACUAGCGCUAAUACCGGAUACGCCCUUUUGGGGAAAGGCUUGCUGCCGAAGGAUCGGCCCGCGUCUGAUUAGCUAGUUGGUGGGGUAAUGGCCUACCAAGGCGACGAUCAGUAGCUGGUCUGAGAGGAUGAUCAGCCACACUGGGACUGAGACACGGCCCAGACUCCUACGGGAGGCAGCAGUGGGGAAUAUUGGACAAUGGGCGCAAGCCUGAUCCAGCCAUGCCGCGUGAGUGAUGAAGGCCUUAGGGUUGUAAAGCUCUUUUGUCCGGGACGAUAACGACGGUACCGGAAGAAUAAGCCCCGGCUAACUUCGUG